GACGAACGCUGGCGGCGUGCUUAACACAUGCAAGUCGAACGGAAAGGCCCUGCUUUUGUGGGGUUCUCGAGUGGCGAACGGGUGAGUAACACGUGAGUAACCUGCCCUUGACUUUGGGAUAACUUCAGGAAACUGCGGCUAAUACCGGAUAGGAUCUCCUGCUGCAUGGUGGGGGUUGGAAAGUUUCGGCGGUUGGGGAUGGACUCGCGGCUUAUCAGCUUGUUGGUGGGGUAGUGGCUUACCAAGGCUUUGACGGGUAGCCGGCCUGAGAGGGUGACCGGCCACAUUGGGACUGAGAUACGGCCCAGACUCCUACGGGAGGCAGCAGUGGGGAAUAUUGCACCAUGGGCGGAAGCCUGAUGCAGCAACGCCGCGUGCGGGAUGACGGCCUUCGGGUUGUAAACCGCUUUCGCCUGUGACGAAGCGUGAGUGACGGUAAUGGGUAAAGAAGCACCGGCUAACUACGUG
RNAcentral lists this ribosomal RNA (468 nucleotides) under uncultured bacterium. Its description in RNAcentral is "partial 16S ribosomal RNA". It matches the Rfam family "Bacterial small subunit ribosomal RNA", at positions 28 to 507 of the family's 1533-position model. The record is from RNAcentral.